RNAcentral lists this ribosomal RNA (483 nucleotides) under uncultured bacterium. Its description in RNAcentral is "bacterial SSU rRNA". It matches the Rfam family "Bacterial small subunit ribosomal RNA", at positions 28 to 507 of the family's 1533-position model. The record is from RNAcentral.
GAUGAACGCUGGCGGCGUGCCUAACACAUGCAAGUCGAACGGAGUAUCUUAUAUAGACUUUCUUAGGAGAUGAAAUAUUAGAUACUUAGUGGCGGACGGGUGAGUAACGCGUGGGUAACCUACCUCAUACAGGGGGAUAACAACCGGAAACGGCUGCUAAAACCGCAUAACAAAGACUAAUCGCAUGAUUAAUCUUUCAAAUAUUUUAUAGGUAUGAGAUGGGCCCGCGUCUGAUUAGCUAGUUGGUGAGAUAAAAGCCCACCAAGGCGACGAUCAGUAGCCGGCUUGAGAGAGUGACCGGCCACAUUGGGACUGAGACACGGCCCAAACUCCUACGGGAGGCAGCAGUGGGGAAUAUUGCACAAUGGGGGAAACCCUGAUGCAGCGACGCCGCGUGAGUGAAGAAGUAUUUCGGUAUGUAAAGCUCUAUCAGCAGGGAAGAAAAUGACGGUACCUGACUAAGAAGCCCCGGCUAACUACGUG